GGGCCUGCACAAGCGGUGGAGUAUGUGGCUUAAUUCGAUGCAACGCGAAGAACCUUACCUGGCCUUGACAUGCAUCUCUAAGUGUGUGAAAGCACAUGACCCCUCGGGGAAUUUGCACAGGUGGUGCAUGGUUGUCGUCAGCUCGUGUCGUGAGAUGUUGGGUUAAGUCCCGCAACGAGCGCAACCCUCGUCCUAUGUUGCCAGCACGUAAUGGUGGGAACUCAUGGGAUACUGCCGGGGUCAACUCGGAGGAAGGUGGGGAUGACGUCAAAUCAUCAUGCCCCUUAUGUCUUGGGCUUCACGCAUGCUACAAUGGCCGGUACAGAGGGCUGCAAUACCGCAAGGUGGAGCGAAUCCCAAAAAGCCGGUCUCAGUUCGGAUUGAGGUCUGCAACUCGACCUCAUG
RNAcentral lists this ribosomal RNA (405 nucleotides) under uncultured bacterium. RNAcentral's name for it is "bacterial SSU rRNA". It matches the Rfam family "Bacterial small subunit ribosomal RNA", at positions 917 to 1322 of the family's 1533-position model. The record is from RNAcentral.